GAUGAACGCUGACAGAAUGCUUAACACACGCAAGUCACUUGAAUUUGGGUUUUUUAACUUAGAUUUGGGUGGCGGACGGGUGAGUAACGCGUAAAGAACUUGCCUCACAGCUAGGGACAACAUUUGGAAACGAAUGCUAAUACCUGAUAUUAUGAUUAUAAGGCAUCUUAGAAUUAUGAAAGCUAUAUGCGCUGUGAGAGAGCUUUGCGUCCCAUUAGCUAGUUGGAGAGGUAACGGCUCACCAAGGCGAUGAUGGGUAGCCGGCCUGAGAGGGUGAACGGCCACAAGGGGACUGAGACACGGCCCUUACUCCUACGGGAGGCAGCAGUGGGGAAUAUUGGCAAUGGACCAAGAGUCUGAUCCAGCAAUUCUGUGUGCACGAUGACGUUUUUGGAAUGUAAAGUGCUUUCAGUUGGGAAGAAAAAAAUGACGGUACCA
RNAcentral lists this ribosomal RNA (438 nucleotides) under Fusobacterium sp. oral taxon 203. RNAcentral's name for it is "bacterial SSU rRNA". It matches the Rfam family "Bacterial small subunit ribosomal RNA", at positions 28 to 480 of the family's 1533-position model. Lineage: Bacteria; Fusobacteriati; Fusobacteriota; Fusobacteriia; Fusobacteriales; Fusobacteriaceae. The record is from RNAcentral.